RNAcentral lists this ribosomal RNA (1001 nucleotides) under uncultured bacterium. RNAcentral describes it as "bacterial SSU rRNA". It matches the Rfam family "Bacterial small subunit ribosomal RNA", at positions 355 to 1375 of the family's 1533-position model. The record is from RNAcentral.
UGGGGAAUAUUGGGCAAUGGGCGCAAGCCUGACCCAGCAACGCCGCGUGAAGGAAGAAGGCUUUCGGGUUGUAAACUUCUUUUAAGUGGGAAGAGCAGAAGACGGUACCACUUGAAUAAGCCACGGCUAACUACGUGCCAGCAGCCGCGGUAAUACGUAGGUGGCAAGCGUUGUCCGGAUUUACUGGGUGUAAAGGGCGUGCAGCCGGGCAUGCAAGUCAGAUGUGAAAUCUCAGGGCUUAACCCUGAAACUGCAUUUGAAACUGUAUGUCUUGAGUGCCGGAGAGGUAAUCGGAAUUCCUUGUGUAGCGGUGAAAUGCGUAGAUAUAAGGAAGAACACCAGUGGCGAAGGCGGAUUACUGGACGGUAACUGACGGUGAGGCGCGAAAGCGUGGGGAGCGAACAGGAUUAGAUACCCUGGUAGUCCACGCUGUAAACGAUGGAUACUAGGUGUGCGGGGACUGACCCCCUGCGUGCCGCAGUUAACACAAUAAGUAUCCCACCUGGGGAGUACGAUCGCAAGGUUGAAACUCAAAGGAAUUGACGGGGGCCCGCACAAGCGGUGGAUUAUGUGGUUUAAUUCGAAGCAACGCGAAGAACCUUACCAGGUCUUGACAUCCUGCUAACGAAGUAGAGAUACAUUAGGUGCCCUUCGGGGAAAGCAGAGACAGGUGGUGCAUGGUUGUCGUCAGCUCGUGUCGUGAGAUGUUGGGUUAAGUCCCGCAACGAGCGCAACCCCUAUUGUUAGUUGCUACGCAAGAGCACUCUAGCGAGACUGCCGUUGACAAAACGGAGGAAGGUGGGGACGACGUCAAAUCAUCAUGCCCCUUAUGACCUGGGCUACACACGUAAUACAAUGGCGGUCAACAAAGGGAUGCAAAGCCGCGAGGCAGAGCGAACCCCAAAAAGCCGUCCCAGUUCGGAUCGCAGGCUGCAACCCGCCUGCGUGAAGUCGGAAUCGCUAGUAAUCGUGGGUCAGCAUACCACGGUGAAUACGUUCCC